CCGCGCUAUUUCCUGCCCCGAGCGCCGCGGCGCUGUCGGGAUAUUUCCUGUGCUGGAGAGGAAGAAAGCCGCUCAUUUUCUCGUACGCUGCGUCUCUCAGCCGGGGUCCCCGCGGAGGGGAAAGGCUUGUCAGAGGAGGCUGCGAAAGGUUUUCGCCCGGACCUGCGACGUGUUCGUGUCACCCUCACCGACGGGCCGAGGCUAGCAGUGCCCACUCGGCGGCCGGGCACGAAGCGAUGGACGUCGUCCCGUUACUUUCCGAAACGAGCCGGGGGAGGAAAGCUCCAGCUCCGCCACAGUUCCGCCCUGAAGGCAGAGGCGCCGAGGGUGGUACUUUCCCGUUCCCCACUCCGGGAUUCUGCUCAUCGCAGGGUGCCCCCCCGAGGGGAGUGGGGGCUGGGGGGACCUCCCAGUCCCUUUCCCCGUGAUUAGAGCACUUCUGGAUGGCGCGAGAGGCCAGUUCAAGCGUUUUCGCUUUAGGGGAGGCUUUGAAACCCGAUCUACGCUUGUCCGGGCAGUGCUGUAACCUCUGAGCUGUGCCUUAGAGCCGCGAGCGACCCGCCCCGCAGAAUGCGGACUCACCGGCUCGGAGUUCAGCGGCUCUUCGGGUGGCUACCGGGUCCCUGUCGAUGGGGACAGUGUCCUAGGGCCGGCCGAUCCGCAGCAGCGGGGCCGUUUCCAUCUCGGUGGUGGACAACGUCCUGGGUCACGGCACCGACUCUGCCGGAUUUUUCCCCUCCUCCCGCUUCUCGGUCUCUUGCUUCAGAACUUCCUACAGCCGUGCCUUGAGCUCAGCGGGAGCCAACCGGGGAAAUGUCCAGGAAUAUUUUCAAAUACCUCUGGAAAAGUCUCUUUGUCUCCACUGCCUAAAGAGGAACGGAAGGAGGGAACGUCCCAACUGAAAUAGCUGGAGCAGAACUACUUCACCUACGUGCUGCACACUGGGCUGUGCAUUGUUUCUUUUUGAGGACCUGGUGUUCAUUAUGAUGAUGGAUAAACCUAAUCCGUGAUGUUAAAAGUCCUGGUUAUUUUUCAUCGGUUUAACGUGGCAGUCACCUCUUUUGUCUCAUGCAGUGCCUGGGCAUUCGGCGAGCCAUCAGAGCCUCGGGAGGGGCAACCCUCACAGCUGCUCAGUCCGAGGCAUGUACCUCUGAGACGUCCCAGAGUCAGAGGAGCUGAUCUAAGCCACGUGUCAAUCGAAAUUCCACCACCUUGGCUGCUUUUUCCAAAAUCUCAACGUCUCCCCGUGAAACUGGCAGCUUUUCAUUAUGGGUACAGGUGGUGUAAAAGGCCGUCUGUGUUGAUGGUGCAAUACUGUGAUGCUUGAGGAUCUGCCUUAACAUCGCUAGAAGCUGGAUUUCAUCAGAAAGUGAGAGUGUCACGUGCCUUGUAUUUGAGUAAGCAUGAAACAACUUUCCAGCGGUGCAGGUUAUCUUGGGGCGUUCAGUUGCUUCUUUGCAUACAAAAACAUUCUUAUCAUGAGCAAAGCUCAGAUGUCUGGCAUUUUUUUUCCGAGUUGCUGCUCAAUGGAUAUAGAAACGUUGCAGAUAACUACUCUAACACAGGAGAAAAGACAUUGCAUCCAGUACCCUUGGCAGCAAUGUUUUUUUUUUUUUUUUUUCCUUUUUAGUAGCCGUUUUAUCGAUAAAAACAUCUUACUACUAUUUUUUUUUCUAAACAAGUUUAAUUUAGACCUUAGCACAGCGUACACCUGAAAAUAAAGUAGUGCUGUUCUUUAUAUUCUCAUCCCUGUGAAUGUGGCAUGAAACUUUUCAUCCAAAGAAGAUCUACUUAUGUGAGGUAAUCUGAGGAAGACUGAUAGCCUUCAGCAAUGCAUUUCCACAAGAACCAGUGAUAAGUAGGAGCAGAAGAGCAAAAAGGUCAGUAAUCAGAAGUGUGUUCAUUGCUCCUGAAUGCAGGAACCCAGGAAUGCAGUUCACUUUCACUUUGCAUCUCCUUCUCUUUGAGUGCUGCACAGCAAAGUCCCCGUGGUCUUUCUUGUGAGAGAACCUGUCAAUCACAGGUGAAAGAAGGGGAUCUGUUUCCUACUUUCCAUCUUGGCCUCUAUCAUUGUAGAACUUACAUGAACACCCCAUGAAUCUCAGAUCUCUAGUGCUUUGGCUGCAGUUUUAUUUUGCUGUUCAAAAAUGUACAGAAGGACAUAUGAAUGAAGCAUAUUUUUUGACAGAUUCCAAUCAAAGCACAACAUUCCUAAAAGAGGAACAUUGAUGAUGAUCACUGCAGGAGCCGUCCUAUUGAUGGAACAAAAUGUUCAGAUUGAGAAGGAGGCGUUGCCAAAAAGCUCAGUUGCCAUGGAAGAAAAACAUCAGCCAUGAGUGGAAGGAAGGGACCUCUUUCCUAAAUUUGUCCCUGUGCUCUGUCCUUGUAAGACUGACAUGAACAACCUAUGAAGACCCUCUUCCCAGUGUUAUGCCUACAGGAACAUGUAGAUUUGCUAUAAGAAAUGAAAAGAAGGGCAUGAGAAUACAGGAUGCUUUUGGAAAUAAUUCAGUUAAAUCCUCAAGGUUUCUGACAGAGGAACACUGAUCGCUGUCAUCAUGGGAGCUGUCUCACCAACCAGUAAAUGCAUUCAGUACAUUGCACAGCGCACCCAUUUGACUUGGAGAACAAGCAUGAAAGAUUAGUUGGCGCCUCAUUUUAAGUAAAUAUAAAGACUUCUAGUCAACUACUACAUUGAAACAUGCUGUGGGUAAGUACUGGGUUAAAACAACUGAACAAACAAAAGCAACUGAAAGCGAAGCGUAAGGAAUGGAAAGUGUCAAAGACGAAGCAAACUUAAUGUGAUACGCAGAGAAGCACGAGAGGCAAUUCUCGCUGUGAGCCACAUGAUGCCACUCUGAGCUAAGAAACACACAAUACGACUGGGAAAAGGGAGGGGAACACCUUCUGGUGUCCAUGGGAGGAUUAUUAUUAUUAUUAUUAUUUUUUUCUGAACAAGCAGCCACUGAUACUACAGGUAAGUCAUUCGUACCCAAAAGGUAUGUAGCUGAGAUACAGAUGUAGGGUUUUGCACUGCUUAAUUGUAUGCUCUUUAUGCUGGAAGGAAUAAAUGUUUCCUGGGUACUGCCUGUAGGUUUCGAGCCUUCUGAUGAUUGUGUGCAUACCAACGGGGAGAGCUGUUUCUCUCACUGGUGACAAUCCCUUCCCUGGAUGUCAGCACAUUUGGAAAUAGAGGAAAUCUCUCAGGAGGCAUUAUUUAGUGGAUGUAAUCAUUUUGUACUUGACUUCUCCCCAGUUUGUGCACUUGCCCAGUUGGCUUCAGUCUAGGUCGUGUGCUCUCUUGUAGCAUGGCUCAAUCUAAAAUGUGAAUAGAUGCUGAAGUUAUAUAUCAAUGUCAGAGGAACUAAUUCUUUACAGCCACGUGUUUUUUUUUUUGUUGUUGUUGUUGUUUUGUUGUUUUUUUUUGUUUUGGUUGUUAUUUUGUUUUGUUUUGUUUUUGAGGACUUGCCACCACUGAAAGAACUAAAAUAACUCAUUUAAAAAUAAAAACUCCACCAAUUAGACUGCUUUUUGCAGAUUUAUCUCAGCUUCUUCAUGUGGACUUGAUGACUUCUGAAUAUAGAUAGAAGUGUGUAAAAGACAAAUUGUUUGUGCAUCUGACUGCUCAGUGUUACAAUGCUUGACAACUUGCUUUACCCUCUGUAGAAGAAGAGAAUCUCACGUGGGCUGGAUUUGAGUAAGCACAAAACAGCUUUUCCAAUGUGUAGGUUAUUUUGGAUUGUUCCUUUGUGUAUACAGUCACCUUUAUCCUAGCAAAGCUCGGAUCACUGGCAUUGUGGGAUCACUUAUUUAAGCCUUUGCUCAGUGGAUGUGGAGGUGAUGCAGACAAGUAUUUGGAAAACAAAAGAAAGGACAGCAUGUCCUACACUCUUGGAAACAAUGCUUGUUUUGUCUUUAGCAGAUGUUUUGCUGAUUAAAACUUCCUGCUACACUUUUUUUGGAGCAAGCUUAAUUUAGAUGUUAGCGCAGCUCUAAGAUACUUGAAAAUAAAAC
RNAcentral lists this long non-coding RNA (4014 nucleotides) under Gallus gallus (chicken). Its description in RNAcentral is "lncRNA (ENSGALG00010012491.1)". The record is from RNAcentral. Lineage: Eukaryota; Metazoa; Chordata; Aves; Galliformes; Phasianidae.